RNAcentral lists this ribosomal RNA (483 nucleotides) under marine sediment bacterium ISA-2633. RNAcentral describes it as "bacterial SSU rRNA". It matches the Rfam family "Bacterial small subunit ribosomal RNA", at positions 38 to 500 of the family's 1533-position model. The record is from RNAcentral.
GGCGGCGUGCCUAAUACAUGCAAGUCGAGCGAAGAGAUGGGAGCUUGCUCCCUGAUCUUAGCGGCGGACGGGUGAGUAACACGUGGGCAACCUGCCCUGCAGACUGGGAUAACUCCGGGAAACCGGAGCUAAUACCGGGUAAUACAUCGCACCGCAUGGUGCAAUGUUGAAAGUUGGCUUUCUGAGCUAACACUGCAGGAUGGGCCCGCGGCGCAUUAGCUAGUUGGUAAGGUAAUGGCUUACCAAGGCGACGAUGCGUACCCGACCUGAGAGGGUGAUCGGCCACACUGGGACUGAAACACGGCCCAGACUCCUACGGGAGGCAGCAUUAGGGAAUCUUCCGCAAUGGACGAAAGUCUGACGGACCAACGCCGCGUGAGUGACAAAGGCCUUCGGGUCGUAAAGCUCUGUUGUUAGGGAAGAACAAGUACCGUUCGAAUAGGGCGGUACCUUGACGGUACCUAACCAGAAAGCCACGGCUAA